ACGGAGAUACAAGGGCUUGCCCUUGUAUCUUAGUGGUGGACGGGCGAGUAACGCGUGAGGAACCUGCCCUUCAGUGGGGAAUAACGGCUGGAAACGGUCGCUAAUACCGCAUGACACAUUGGUACCGCAUGAUACUGAUGUCAAAGGAGCAAUCCGCUGAAGGAUGGCCUUGCGUCCGAUUAGCUAGUUGGUGGGGUAACGGCCUACCAAGGCGACGAUCGGUAGCCGAACUGAGAGGUUGAUCGGCCGCAUUGGGACUGAGACACGGCCCAGACUCCUACGGGAGGCAGCAGUGGGGGAUAUUGGUCAAUGGGGGAAACCCUGAACCAGCAACGCCGCGUGAGGGAAGACGGCCUUCGGGUUGUAAACCUAAGUGAUCAGGGACGAAGGAAGUGACGGUACCUGAAAAGCAAGCUCCGGCUAACUACGUGCCAGCAGCCGCGGUAAUACGUAGGGAGCGAGCGUUGUCCGGAUUUACUGGGUGUAAAGGGUGCGUAGGCGGGAAAGCAAGUCAGGUGUGAAAUACCGGGGCUCAACUCCGGGGCUGCGCUUGAAACUGUUUUUCUUGAGUGAAGUAGAGGCAGGCGGAAUUCCUAGUGUAGCGGUGGAAUGCGUAGAUAUUAGGAGGAACACCAGUGGCGAA
This 643-nucleotide ribosomal RNA is filed under the name uncultured bacterium. Its description in RNAcentral is "bacterial SSU rRNA". It matches the Rfam family "Bacterial small subunit ribosomal RNA", at positions 66 to 719 of the family's 1533-position model. The record is from RNAcentral.